This is a long non-coding RNA of Chenopodium quinoa (quinoa), 1749 nucleotides long. RefSeq lists it as uncharacterized. Lineage: Eukaryota; Viridiplantae; Streptophyta; Magnoliopsida; Caryophyllales; Amaranthaceae. The record is from RefSeq and is a predicted model, not a curated record. The transcript is spliced from 2 exons.
GAUUCUCAAUUCUCAUCAAACUCUGUUUUGAUCUCUCUCCUCUAACUAGACCGUGCACCACCACAACACGCCACCAGUCACCGCUGUACAUCCUUUCUUCCUCGGACCCCUUGAACUAACUGAGGCCGAUUUGGGUCGAAGUUGCUUAAGAGAUAAGCUUUUUUUUAAUCUUCGAAUUUCAAAUUCUGAGUCUAGGGUGCUUAGUUUUCUUUUUCAGUUUAGUGAUUUUUUUAUUUUUGAGAAAACAAUUUACUGAAUUUUUGGUUCUGGUUUAUAAAUUUAUAAUGGAUUAUUUUGAUUUGUUUAAUUUCUUGGGGUUGCUUUUAUUUUAAUUAGCGUGGGUAAAUUAAUAUUAUGUGCUCUUCUGAUUGUGGCACAUGAAUUUGCAAGCAGCUGUUAGAUUUGUAUGUCAACUCUUAGAUCUUCUGUUAAAAAAUUGAUUUUUUAUUAUUAAAUUGGGUUACUAAUAUUCUUUAUAAGAUAUGAAUUAUCUAGAAAUGUCAAGUUUAUAAAGGAUUGGUUAGUGAUUGUGUAAUUACCAUUACGACUCAUUAAAUGUCAUUAACUCCCUUUUCUUUUCAAUUUUCAGUUUUCUAGAAAGGAAUUCUUUCGUUAUGAUCGAAGGAGGGAAGUUCAGGCUCUUCGAAUGAGAGCAACGUUGCCGUUGCCUAGGAGGAAUUACGGGCAGAUUCCGAAACCGAAGCUAAAUCGCAGACUCCAUGACAACCAAGGGUUAGAAAUACUAGAGGUAUAAUUGGAUUCAUUGCUUCCUUACCAACCCUUGAACCCUUGUUCAAGUGCAACCAGACAAAUGAUUUAUGCCAACAAGACACAAGGAGGAUUCAUUGCUAAGCUUUCUAAAUUUGUUAUUUCAACUGAAUUAUAUACUUGUGUUUUAAAGGUAUGAUCUGAUUUUGGGAGCAAUAAAUACAUUCUAUGUAUUUUCCUUACGUUCUUCUUAAUAUAGGCCUAUAGGGUUUCUAAAAGGAAUUUAUGGGUUUUAAAUUGUCGUAAUAUUUGGUUUUUGUAGGCAUAUAUCAGCGGUUUUUGGGGUUUUGUUUGGAUGGUUUAUUUUUAUAAUUUUGUUUAUCAACUAUGUAAAAUUAUGAACUUGAAUUUUGUUUUUAGUUACUGCUUGUUGUAGAAUUUACGAAAUAUUGGGUUGAAUUUGAAUCGAUUGCUCAUCUAAUAUCAGUCGCUUUUGUACUUAGUUAGAUUUUGUGCUUAUUGUUAAUGGUCUAGCUGACUCGCCGUAGGAGAUUACAAGGAGGGGUAUUGUAUUGGUGUUGAAGUGCUUGAGAAUGAUCCUGAAAGCAGAGAAGCCGUUUUAUGGGCCAAAUGUUUGGCCAGCUUCAGGAAGGUAGCUAGGAGUGUUGCAAGGAUUAUAUCUCUAGAACUUAGUCUGGACGCGGAUUUCUUUGAUUAGCAUCGGGAAACCUAUCUCAAUCUUACGCAUGUUGCACUUUGAAGGUGGAAAUCAAAUUGUUUACUUAAUUUCAGUAAUUGAUAACUUAUCAUAUCCAUUGUCAAUAGUCUUGUAAUUUUUUUUGUUACAUAAAGAUAUUGAUUCGUCAAAAGGAAUUUUUAAUAAUUUAUGGAGCUGGUACACAUUCGUUGAAGUGAAAUUAGACGGUUGAAUGUAGCUAUUGACUAUUGUGUUAUGUGAGAUUGCAAUAUUGCAUGUCAAUAAAGUACUGUAUGGAGCCUUUUGUGAAUAAUAUAUGAUGAUAUUAGUUUAGUCAGUGUUAA